This 492-nucleotide ribosomal RNA is filed under the name uncultured bacterium. RNAcentral describes it as "partial 16S ribosomal RNA". It matches the Rfam family "Bacterial small subunit ribosomal RNA", at positions 29 to 507 of the family's 1533-position model. The record is from RNAcentral.
AGUGAACGCUGGCGGUAGGCCUAACACAUGCAAGUCGAACGGCAGCACAGUAAGAGCUUGCUCUUACGGGUGGCGAGUGGCGGACGGGUGAGGAGUACAUCGGAAUCUACUUUUUCGUGGGGGAUAACGUAGGGAAACUUACGCUAAUACCGCAUACGACCUACGGGUGAAAGCAGGGGAUCUUCGGACCUUGCGCGAUUGAAUGAGCCGAUGUCGGAUUAGCUAGUUGGCGGGGUAAAGGCCCACCAAGGCGACGAUCCGUAGCUGGUCUGAGAGGAUGAUCAGCCACACUGGAACUGAGGCACGGUCCAGACUCCUACGGGAGGCAGCAGUGGGGAAUAUUGGACAAUGGGCGCAAGCCUGAUCCAGCCAUACCGCGUGGGUGAAGAAGGCCUUCGGGUUGUAAAGCCCUUUUGUUGGGAAAGAAAAGCAGCAGGUUAAUACCCCGCUGUUCUGACGGUACCCAAAGAAUAAGCACCGGCUAACUUCGUG